This 253-nucleotide ribosomal RNA is filed under the name uncultured bacterium. Its description in RNAcentral is "partial 16S ribosomal RNA". It matches the Rfam family "Bacterial small subunit ribosomal RNA", at positions 524 to 776 of the family's 1533-position model. The record is from RNAcentral.
UACGGAGGGUGCAAGCGUUAAUCGGAAUUACUGGGCGUAAAGCGUGCGCAGGCGGUUUUGUAAGUCAGAUGUGAAAUCCCCGGGCUUAACCUGGGAACUGCGUUUGAAACUACAAGGCUAGAGUGUGGCAGAGGGGGGUGGAAUUCCACGUGUAGCAGUGAAAUGCGUAGAGAUGUGGAGGAACACCGAUGGCGAAGGCAGCCCCCUGGGUUAACACUGACGCUCAGGCACGAAAGCGUGGGGAGCAAACAGG